Molecule: ribosomal RNA, 253 nt
Filed under: uncultured bacterium
Lineage: Bacteria
Description: partial 16S ribosomal RNA
Rfam family: Bacterial small subunit ribosomal RNA
Source: RNAcentral
UAAGGAGGGGGCUAGCGUUGUUCGGAAUUACUGGGCGUAAAGCGUACGUAGGCGGCUUUGUAAGUUAGAGGUGAAAGCCCGGGGCUCAACUCCGGAAUUGCCUUUAAGACUGCAUCGCUUGAAUCAUGGAGAGGUGAGUGGAAUUCCGAGUGUAGAGGUGAAAUUCGUAGAUAUUCGGAAGAACACCAGUGGCGAAGGCGACUUACUGGACACAUAUUGACGCUGAGGUGCGAAAGCGUGGGGAGCAAACAGG